AUUGAACGCUGGCGGCAUGCUUUACACAUGCAAGUCGAACGGCAGCACGGGCUUCGGCCUGGUGGCGAGUGGCGAACGGGUGAGUAAUAUAUCGGAACGUACCCAGAAGUGGGGGAUAACGUAGCGAAAGUUACGCUAAUACCGCAUACGAUCUAUGGAUGAAAGCAGGGGACCGCAAGGCCUUGUGCUCCUGGAGCGGCCGAUAUCUGAUUAGCUAGUUGGUGAGGUAAAGGCUCACCAAGGCGACGAUCAGUAGCUGGUCUGAGAGGACGACCAGCCACACUGGAACUGAGACACGGUCCAGACUCCUACGGGAGGCAGCAGUGGGGAAUUUUGGACAAUGGGCGCAAGCCUGAUCCAGCAAUGCCGCGUGAGUGAAGAAGGCCUUCGGGUUGUAAAGCUCUUUUGUCAAGGAAGAAACGGUAGAGGCUAAUAUCCUUUGCUAAUGACGGUACCUGAAGAAUAAGCACCGGCUAACUACGUG
RNAcentral lists this ribosomal RNA (484 nucleotides) under uncultured bacterium. RNAcentral's name for it is "partial 16S ribosomal RNA". It matches the Rfam family "Bacterial small subunit ribosomal RNA", at positions 30 to 507 of the family's 1533-position model. The record is from RNAcentral.